Non-coding RNA from Lentinula guzmanii, 95 nucleotides. The record is from the annotation of a GenBank genome assembly. NCBI's taxonomy places the organism in Eukaryota, Fungi, Basidiomycota, Agaricomycetes, Agaricales, Omphalotaceae.
UCCGAUAUGGUGUAGUGGUUAACAUUAUCGCCUCUCAGAGAAGUUUCUUUCGAACUAGUUCGCGAUAGCCCGGGGUUCGAUUCCCCGUGUCGGAA